RNAcentral lists this ribosomal RNA (166 nucleotides) under uncultured bacterium. RNAcentral's name for it is "partial 16S rRNA". It matches the Rfam family "Bacterial small subunit ribosomal RNA", at positions 354 to 511 of the family's 1533-position model. The record is from RNAcentral.
UAGGGAAAUCUUCGGCAAUGGACGAAAGUCUGACCGAGCAACGCCGCGUGAGUGAAGAAGGUUUUCGGAUCGUAAAACUCUGUUGGUAGAGAAGAACGUUGGUGAGAGUGGAAAGCUCAUCAAGUGACGGUAACUACCCAGAAAGGGACGGCUAACUACGUGCCGG